CAUGGCUUUCUGUUUCUACAGAAAUGGAACUAGAAGAGCUGGGUAUACAGUAUAGUUGCAUUAGGUAGAUUUAUGAGUUACCAUCAGUGCCCUCUGACUGAACUGUACACCUUACUAACUACUUUAGAAGUUGGUUCUCAGCAGUAGUUUGAUCUUCAUAACACUUUGCUAAAUGUGAUCCGGAGUGGGAAAGACUCAACACUGUCUCCGGCAUCAUCACUCAGAAGUGCUUAUAUACCGUUCUUCAAAGAGGCCCUCAAGCACACAGUGAUGGGGACAGCAGUUUCUGUCUGUGGUGGGUCUGCCUGGUGUCUUCCUUAUUAUAACAACUAUCUGUCUAUCUAUCAUAUGAAAUAACAAGUAUUAAUUUCCCUUGUGAGCAGCACAGAGGCAGCCCAGCAUCAGGUGCAGCACAUAUGUGAAACUGAACUCGAAGAGCUGUAGAAACUGGGUGGGUGUUCCAGUUUCCAGUUUUCACAUUUUUUUUAGGCCUACUCAUGGAAUGGGCGGCUGGAGGUUGUGAGGAAAUGAUUGCUGAAUCAAUCAUAACAAUAAAUGUUAUGGGCUUGCAAUCGAGUACAAUCGCUGACUGCGCCUUUAAUAUGUUUUCUACCAUGAUGCCGGUGGUUGAAAUUGGGCUUGGUAACUAGUUUAGGAGUUGGUUCUCAGCACCAUUGGGCUUGGUAACUAGUUUAGGAGUUGGCUCUAAGCACCAUUUGCACUUUGGUCUGUCAAUAAAUGUUAUGUAAGCGAUAAUGUAUUGUCCGCCGGUAAUUAUCGGAAAAUAAGUCCCCACAGGGAGAACAGAACCCCAACAGGCAGUGGAAGAAGAUGCUGUGUGAAAUUGUACCAAGUGUUAUAUUUGUUUUCACCAUGUCUUUGCCUUUUGAUUUUGAAUUAAAGAAGUCUUGAGUGUCUGCAUCCACAAGUUCAUGUUCCUGGUUUCCUUGUGUGACAGGAAUGGGUUAAUGGAGAAUAUGCAUACCUCAAUAUAAGGUUUACCUAAUAAUAUUAAUAUUAAUAACAAUAUGAAUGCCAUGUUUGCAU
Long non-coding RNA from Alosa alosa (allis shad), 1047 nucleotides. RefSeq lists it as uncharacterized. The record is from RefSeq and is a predicted model, not a curated record. Lineage: Eukaryota; Metazoa; Chordata; Actinopteri; Clupeiformes; Clupeidae. The transcript has 3 exons.